GGCACCAUAAAAGGUCAAAACCUGAAACAAUCCCUACGCGACCCCACUUGAUUUGACAUGUUUGCCACUUCUACAUGAAGAAGUGUUUUUUCAUUGAUGAACUUUCUGGGUUCUAUGCUCCUUCUUUGAUUAACUAUACUCUUCAAGUUCAAAGAUUAAAAAAGAUGGUAUCAACAUCAUGAAAAAUCAACUUAGAAAAAACAUUAUUUUGGUCGGUAAUAUUUGAUUAAGUUGGUUAUAUUUGAUUAGGUGCAUUUUGAGAAU
RNAcentral lists this unclassified non-coding RNA (264 nucleotides) under Hevea brasiliensis (rubber tree). Lineage: Eukaryota; Viridiplantae; Streptophyta; Magnoliopsida; Malpighiales; Euphorbiaceae. The record is from RNAcentral.